GCUUUGACCUAAAGCUUGGAGUUGAGUUUGGAACAAAAAUGUGUCGUGAGGGGGGUUGCAUGGACUCCUUAUCAUACGCCAAAUCUAAGAUGAAGCUGUGGAAUUGAGUCCUCCUCCAACAAGGGAAAGAAAAGGAUAACUUACACCUGUAAUCCCAGCGCUUUGGGAGGCCGAGGCGGGCGGAUCACGAGAUGCCCGUGAGUUGACAAGUUGUUUAAACGCAGAUGUUACAAUAAGUCAGUUUAAGAUUUGGUGAAGAAAGUAGAUAAGAGUAUACACAGAAUUGAAGACCUUAGCAUCACUACUAUUCGUCUGCUUAGGAGGAGCGAACAGAAGAGAAUCAGUGAGUUUAAUUCUCAUGCAUACAAACUGGUUGAUAAUUUUUUCAUCAGAUCACAUCCAGUAUGAUUAAUGUUUCUCUUUUUUCAUUUGGCCAACUAUGAGGUGGGCGAGUAAUAACAGUAUCACAAAAUAGAAGAAUAUAUGAAUAUUAAUGAACAGUUCAUACUUUGUCUCCCCCCAACCCCUCACAUGAUAAAGCAAAUAAUCUCAUGGUUCAAUCUCUAGAGUACUAAGUUUAUGGCUGGAGAAAGCAGUAGUGCAUGGCAUAUGGGCAAAAAGCAUCUCUGGGUAGCUAAGGCAGGGGUGCCUUGUUACAAUUAUUCAGACUGAAGUCCAGCAUAUUGUAUGUAAUAUGCUAUUUAAAUAAGAACAAUUUUGGUACAGUUAUUAUCAUACACAAUACACAAUACUACAUGUAAUUAUCCUUCAAGUUUCCUGUGAAUAUUCUAUAUUGGAAAUGUUAAAUUCUAUAAUUGGAAGGAACGUCUGUAAUUUAGUUGAAAUAAAAAGAAAGUGUGUUAACUUUAUUUUAAAUUACCUCUACAUUGUCAAACAACUAGAGAGGGAGCAUGUAUGAUUAAACAAAAUUGUAAUUUAAAUCAUGUAAAGUACUAAUCAAUUAAAAUAAUAAACAU
This is a long non-coding RNA of Homo sapiens (human), 977 nucleotides long. Lineage: Eukaryota; Metazoa; Chordata; Mammalia; Primates; Hominidae. The record is from Ensembl.